RNAcentral lists this ribosomal RNA (525 nucleotides) under uncultured bacterium. RNAcentral's name for it is "bacterial SSU rRNA". It matches the Rfam family "Bacterial small subunit ribosomal RNA", at positions 791 to 1311 of the family's 1533-position model. The record is from RNAcentral.
UAGUCCACGCCGUAAACGAUGGAUACUAGCUGUCCGGGGCCUUGAGCCUUGGGCGGCCAAGCGAAAGUGAUAAGUAUCCCACCUGGGGAGUACGUUCGCAAGAAUGAAACUCAAAGGAAUUGACGGGGGCCCGCACAAGCGGUGGAGCAUGUGGUUUAAUUCGAUGAUACGCGAGGAACCUUACCAGGGCUUAAAUGCAUUACGACAGGUCUAGAGAUAGAUUUUCCUUCGGGCGUUUUGCAAGGUGCUGCAUGGUUGUCGUCAGCUCGUGCCGUGAGGUGUCAGGUUAAGUCCUAUAACGAGCGCAACCCCUGCCGUUAGUUGCCAGCAUGUAAAGAUGGGGACUCUAACGGGACUGCCGGUGCAAACCGUGAGGAAGGUGGGGACGACGUCAAAUCAUCACGGGCCCUUACGUCCUGGGGCCACACACGUGCUACAAUGGCCGGUACAGCGGGGAAGCCAUGCGGUAACGCAGCGCGGGAUCCACAAAACCGGGUCACAGUUCGGGAUCGGGGGUCUGGCAAC